UAAUACGGAGGGGGCUAGCGUUGUUCGGAAUUACUGGGCGUAAAGCGCGCGUAGGCGGUUCCAGCAGUCGGGCGUGAAAGCCCCGGGCUCAACCCGGGAAUAGCGCACGAUACUUUGGAGCUAGAGUCCGGGAGAGGAGAGUGGAAUUCCCAGUGUAGAGGUGAAAUUCGUAGAUAUUGGGAAGAACACCGGUGGCGAAGGCGGCUCUCUGGACCGGUACUGACGCUCUGGCGCGAAAGCGUGGGGAGCAAACAGG
Molecule: ribosomal RNA, 256 nt
Filed under: uncultured bacterium
Lineage: Bacteria
Description: partial 16S ribosomal RNA
Rfam family: Bacterial small subunit ribosomal RNA
Source: RNAcentral